CGGCGGACGGGUGAGUAAUGCCUAGGAAUCUGCCUGGUAGUGGGGGACAACGUUUCGAAAGGAACGCUAAUACCGCAUACGUCCUACGGGAGAAAGCAGGGACCUUCGGGCCUUGCGCUAUCAGAUGGAGCCUAGGUCGGAUUAGCUAGUUGGUGAGGUAAUGGCUCACCAAGGCGACGAUCCGUAACUGGUCUGAGAGGAUGAUCAGUCACACUGGAACUGAGACACGGUCCAGACUCCUACGGGAGGCAGCAGCG
This 257-nucleotide ribosomal RNA is filed under the name uncultured Pseudomonas sp. RNAcentral describes it as "partial 16S ribosomal RNA". It matches the Rfam family "Bacterial small subunit ribosomal RNA", at positions 96 to 356 of the family's 1533-position model. The record is from RNAcentral. Lineage: Bacteria; Pseudomonadati; Pseudomonadota; Gammaproteobacteria; Pseudomonadales; Pseudomonadaceae.